GCCCCUGGCUUGCUGUUCUUGAGACUCCCUCUACUUCCCACGCGCCACUCCCAGCACGUGGAGACGCCUGUUUCUCCUGGGCAGAUGGAACCCGAUUCUUUCCAACUUGGGAAACGUAAUCGGUCUUUUCUGUUAUGUUUCCAUUUGUUUCUCAAUGUUAAAUUUCUGUGAACAAAACUUCCCAUUGGUGACUGUUUUAAAGACCCUCAGAACCUGGUCCGCCACUCUAGAGGCUCUAUCACCAUAGGCCCUGGGCUGCCUGGAGGAGCGAGUGAGGGGUCCAUGCUGCGUCAGGAGCUGGGGACUGCUGGGGAUGAGAUGCGUCUCUUUGGCCAGGGCGUUUGCUUUAGAGCUAUGAGGCAGCCAGGAAGCUGGGCCACAGGCGGGAGGCCUGGGGUCCGGGCGCUACAGCCAGUGCCAGCUCCUGCUUUCCACGGCCGGCGGGUUCUACCAUAGCCUCGGCAAGUCAUCAGCAAACGUCCCUUACAGACACUCCAUCCGGACACGUGUGCCUCAUUGCCAGGUGGUCUCUCUGCCGAACCCACAUCUGUGAUGGCAGAACUCAGCUCAGAGCAGGUGCGGCAGGAGGCGAGGGAGGGAACACCGGCACCCUCACAGCAGCUGGGCCCUUCCACACACCCUCCAAGCUUGUCACCCAGUAGGCCGGCCGGGCGCCAUGGCCCGGAGGUCCCUGUGGCCGGCAGGAGAGUUGCCAGCACGGGAGCUGAGACCCUCUUGUCAGACUCAGAUGUUUUCUGCUCUUCCUGAUCCUGACUUCUCCUUUGGGCCUAAU
RNAcentral lists this long non-coding RNA (793 nucleotides) under Homo sapiens (human). RNAcentral describes it as "HSALNT0253806". Lineage: Eukaryota; Metazoa; Chordata; Mammalia; Primates; Hominidae. The record is from RNAcentral.